This 627-nucleotide ribosomal RNA is filed under the name uncultured bacterium. RNAcentral's name for it is "bacterial SSU rRNA". It matches the Rfam family "Bacterial small subunit ribosomal RNA", at positions 39 to 676 of the family's 1533-position model. The record is from RNAcentral.
GCGGGCGCGUGCUUACCAUGCAAGUCGAACGGACUCAUAUUGAAACCUAGUGAAGUAUGAGUUAGUGGCGGACGGGUGAGUAACGCGUGGAAAACCUGCCGUAUACUGGGGGAUAACACUUAGAAAUAGGUGCUAAUACCGCAUAAGCGCACAGCUUCGCAUGAAGCGGUGUGAAAAACUCUGGUGGUAUACGAUGGUUCCGCGUCUGAUUAGCUAGUUGGUGGGGUAAUGGCCUACCAAGGCAACGAUCAGUAGCCGGCCUGAGAGGGUGAACGGCCACAUUGGGACUGAGACACGGCCCAAACUCCUACGGGAGGCAGCAGUGGGGAAUAUUGCACAAUGGGGGAAACCCUGAUGCAGCGACGCCGCGUGAGUGAAGAAGUAUUUCGGUAUGUAAAGCUCUAUCAGCAGGGAAGAAAAUGACGGUACCUGAUUAAGAAGCCCCGGCUAACUACGUGCCAGCAGCCGCGGUAAUACGUAGGGGGCAAGCGUUAUCCGGAUUUACUGGGUGUAAAGGGAGCGUAGACGGCAGCACAAGUCUGGAGUGAAAUGCCGGGGCUUAACCCCGGAACUGCUUUGGAAACUGUGCAGCUAGAGUGCAGGAGAGGUAAGUGGAAUUCCUAGUGU